AUGUAUUUUUUAUGUGCCCAUGUCCUGAUAAUGAUAUGUUUUUUUACAGAAAAUGGGAAGGUUGAUUUCAAAAAGUUGAUGGAACAAGUGAAUAUUAUUAAAGGAGGAGAAAUCGAUGUCUGUGACUUGAAAAAUGUUCUUGGAAAAAUGGGGAUAACACUCACAAAUAAGGAAUUUCUGAAUCUGGUACAAAAUUUACCAAUAGAUGGUAAGAAUCUAAAAUAUUGUCCUGGUCUUCUAAAAAAUAGUAAUUCUUAUUUUGUUUGUGAGAAAUUCUAUAACAUUCCAUUUGAUAGUAAAGAAUACAUAUUUUCUGAAUCAUUUGGAAUCAAAUACCUCAUGUCCAUAUAAUCUCUCUCUCUUUUGCACACACAAACACACACACACACACGCUCAUCUAAUGUAUGUAAAGAUACAUUGAAAUUUGUUAACAUGAUUUACAUGGGAUGUUAAGGAUUGUUAUAGCAAUGAAAAGAAGGGGGAGAAGUAUUCAAAUAAUAAUAAUAACAAAAAGAAGAAAAUAUUAGAAUUAAAAAGUACUCCCAUGUAUGAUAUUAUCCUAUGUAUACAUUGUACAAACUUAUAAAAGUUUACAAUCAUAGACAAUUUUCAAAAGUAAAGAAAAAGAAUAAUCUGAUAUCUUAAAAAUUUUAUAAGGGGUUGGUACGGUGGCACAGCAGGUUAAGCUGCCACCUGCCAUGCUGGCAUCCCAUACUGGUGCCAGUUCAACAUCUGGCUGCUCCAGUUCUGAUCCAGCUCCCUGCUAAUGUUCCUGGGUAAACAGCGGAAGAUGGCCCAAGUGCUUGGGCUCCUGAACCCACAUGGGAGAACUGGAUAAAGCUCCUGGUUCCUGGCUUUGGACUGCCCAGCUUUGGCCUUUGUAGCCAUUUGAAGAGUGAACCGGCAGGUGGAAGAUGUUUCUCUCUCUCUUUCUCUCUCUCUUUUCUCUCCUUCUCCCUCCCCCUCUCUCUCCCUCCCUCUUUCCCUCUCUCUACUUUUCAAAUGAAAAAGGAUUUUAUGAAAUAUUUUAUAAUUUGAGAAUCAAGAACUUUUUGUUCACAAAUUCUUCCACUAAAAUUGAGGUAUAACUUUUAUAAACUAAGAAAAUUCUACUGGAAGAGGAUUCUAAAGGAAAAUGAAUUAAAUGAAAAAGGAACUAAGAGCAUUGUAAACUAAUAUAAAAAUCAGUGCUUGUUACAGACUUUUCAGAAAUACUAAAUAUCUGAAGUUGUGGAUACGUUAAUUGGUCUGAUCUAAUCAUCCACAAUGUAUGCAUAUAUAUAACAUCACAAGAUAUAUAGUNNNNNNNNNNNNNNNNNNNNNNNNNNNNNNNNNNNNNNNNNNNNNNNNNNNNNNNNNNNNNNNNNNNNNNNNNNNNNNNNNNNNNNNNNNNNNNNNNNNNAUAUGUUUUUUGUAGCUAAUGAAAAAAUCUAUAAGAAUAGAUUGCUGGAUGGCUUGAAGUCUCUUAAUGGUAAGUGAAAAACAAUGAAAAACCAGUUGACUCUAAGAGAUACAUGUGCACUGUUUCCUAGAUAUUAAAUUGUGACUCUUUUCACUUUACUUAAAUAUUGAUGCUAUUCCCAUCUUCCUUUUUGAUGUUUUUGUUAGCAAAGUAUCUCCACAUUAGAUUUCUUUUUUAAAAUUUUAUUUAAAAUAUACAAAGUUCAUGUAUUUCCUAUACACAGAUUCAGGAACACAGUGAUACUUCUCAUCCUACUAUUCUUCUCACCCAUAUUAACCAUGCUUCUUCUUUCUCCCUCUCCUAUUCCCAUUCUAAAUUUUUACAAAGACCCAUUUUUAGUUUAUUUUAUGUUCAUAAGAUUAACCCUACACUAAGAGUUCAAAAAAUAGCAUGAAGGAAAAAAACACUGUUCCUCAACAGUCAAGCAUCGCUUUCUGACCUUUUGGCUAAGAUCAAGAGUAACAGUCAAGACAAAGACUUAACAAUCAUAGAGUCUUAAAAUGUCAAUUUCACCCCUAUAAAUCACCUUUUAGGUAUUUUAUUAGUUACCACAGAUCAGGAAAAACAUAUAAUAUUUGUGUUUUUGGAACUGGCUUAUUUCACUAUGUGUAAUGGUUUCCAGUUGUAUCCAUUUUGUUGCAAAAAAAGUUUCUUUUUUUACCACUGUGUAGUAUUCCACAGUGUAUAUAUACCAUAAUUUCUUUAUCCAGUCUUCAGUAGAUGGACAUCUGGGUUGAUCCAUAUCUUAGCUAUUAUGAGUUGAGCUGCAAUCAACAUGGGAGUACAGAUCACUUUUUUAUAUGCUGAUUGCAUUUCAUUUGUGUAAAUUUCAAGGAGCGUCAUGGCUGGGUAAUAUUUUAGGUCUAUAUUCAGAUUUCUUAGGUGUUGCCAUAUUAUCUUCCACAGUGGCUACACCAGUUUGCAUUCCCACUAACAGUGGAUUAGAGUACCCUUUUUCUCACAUCCACGCCAGCAUUGUUUGUUGAUUUCUGUAUGAUUUCUGUAUCAGGGGUGAGGUGAAAGCUCAUUGUAAUUUUGAUUUGCAGUUCCCUGAUGGCUGGUGAUCCUGAGCAUUUAUUCAUGUGUCUGUUGGCCAUUUGGAUUUCCUUUUCGAAAAGUGCCUAUUCAAGUCCUUUGCCCAUUUCUUAACUAGAUUAUUUGUAUUGUUGUUGAGUUCCUUGCACUCUUUAUAGAUUCUAAAAUAUUAAUCCUUUAUGAGUUUCAUAGUUUGCAAAUAUUUUCUUCCAUUCUGUUGGUUACCUCUUCACUUUGCUGUGUGUUUCUUUUGCAGUGCAGAAGCUUCUCAGCUUGAUGUAAUCUCAUUUGUCAAUUUUGGCUUUGAUUGCCUGUGCAUCUGGGGUCUUUUCCAAGAAGUUUUUGCCUAUGUCAGUGUCUUUCAGAGUUUUCCCAAUGUUCUCUAGUGAUUUGAUGGUAUUGUGCCAGAUUUAGGUCCUUGAUUUUUUUUGACUGGAAUUUUGUGUAAGGUGAAAGGUAGGGGUCUUAUUUCAUCCUUAUACAUGAGGAAAUCCAGUUUUCCAAGCACUACUUGUUGAAUAAACUGAUCCUUGCUCUACA
Oryctolagus cuniculus (rabbit) is the source of this 3037-nucleotide long non-coding RNA. The record is from Ensembl. NCBI's taxonomy places the organism in Eukaryota, Metazoa, Chordata, Mammalia, Lagomorpha, Leporidae.